CGGCGUGCCUAAUACAUGCAAGUCGAGCGAAUGGAUUGAGAGCUUGCUCUCAAGAAGUUAGCGGCGGACGGGUGAGUAACACGUGGGUAACCUGCCCAUAAGACUGGGAUAACUCCGGGAAACCGGGGCUAAUACCGGAUAAUAUUUUGAACUGCAUGGUUCGAAAUUGAAAGGCGGCUUCGGCUGUCACUUAUGGAUGGACCCGCGUCGCAUUAGCUAGUUGGUGAGGUAACGGCUCACCAAGGCAACGAUGCGUAGCCGACCUGAGAGGGUGAUCGGCCACACUGGGACUGAGACACGGCCCAGACUCCUACGGGAGGCAGCAGUAGGGAAUCUUCCGCAAUGGACGAAAGUCUGACGGAGCAACGCCGCGUGAGUGAUGAAGGCUUUCGGGUCGUAAAACUCUGUUGUUAGGGAAGAACAAGUGCUAGUUGAAUAAGCUGGCACCUUGACGGUACCUAACCAGAAAGCCACGGCUAACUACGUGCCAGCAGCCGCGGUAAUACGUAGGUGGCAAGCGUUAUCCGGCCUUAUUGGGCGUAAAGCGCGCGCAGGUUGUUUCU
RNAcentral lists this ribosomal RNA (563 nucleotides) under uncultured Bacillus sp. Its description in RNAcentral is "bacterial SSU rRNA". It matches the Rfam family "Bacterial small subunit ribosomal RNA", at positions 40 to 583 of the family's 1533-position model. Lineage: Bacteria; Bacillati; Bacillota; Bacilli; Caryophanales; Bacillaceae. The record is from RNAcentral.